RNA transcript from Tripterygium wilfordii, 2298 nucleotides. It is a transcript of the gene named dihydroorotase, mitochondrial-like, with no coding region annotated. The transcript is spliced from 7 exons. The record is from RefSeq and is a predicted model, not a curated record. Lineage: Eukaryota; Viridiplantae; Streptophyta; Magnoliopsida; Celastrales; Celastraceae.
CUGCUUCUGCAAAAAUCUUCGCUCUGUGUCCUGUGCCUCCUCUUCCUUUCUUCCCUGCUUUCUCUCUCCCCAAAUCUCACGGGCCAUUGGGUCUUUCCCUCUCUGCUUCACACAACUUGAGCUUCGUUUGGUACGGGUCGACAUCGGGAGCUUCGAUUUACUACGGGCUGGAGAGUUUGUUUUGUUGUGGAUGUUUGGCGUGGUUCAUGGAUUUGGUGCGAUCAGGCAACUGAGCUCUGCAGCAUGAUGAAAAUAACACUGAUAAGGGUACCUUAGGUUAUAUGUCUUGCAUUGUCGUACGUUUGAGCUCCUUGCUCAUUUUUCUGUGUACAUUCUACUUGCGCCAAGCGCCAAGGUCAGACGGCUCAGCUGUUUUUCUUCGAGCAACUUGACUUCAAUUUCGCCUCAACUCUUUGAUCUGUGUGUGCUGUGGGUAAUAGCUCGCCUGCUUCUUCUGGCUAGGCUUAGGUAAACUCCUCCGGGUUGUGUCUUCGCUCAGUAAGAAGGCCUUCAUUGAUGCUGUGUGACCACCUCUGAUUGAAAGGCUUCCGCUGCUCAAGGUCGUAAUGGAGGAUAUCACUACUAUGGAUGUUGUUAGGUUUGUUGAGUCUUGCAAAAAAGGACUGGCUAUUGUUUCUACUAUGAAUCGUGGAAGUAAAAGAUUUUUCCUUGGAACUGAUAGUGCUCCUCAAAAGAGACAAAGAAAAGAAUGUCCUUGUGGAUGUGCAGGCUGGUGCGCUUGACAAGCAAAAGGAAUUUACCAGCUUUAGCAACCAGUCUUUUAUGCCCUACCAAGAAAUACAUCAAAGAGAGUGAGAUUCUAGCAAUAAGCACAUUGAUUCAAGUUUUUUGCUCUCUGUACUCUACUGCAGAUUGGCUUUUUAGAGGGUUAGUGGCAACUAAUUGGAGACCGAAAUCGAGUGAAAACUCCGCCUUGCCUCUUUGGAUUUCUAGGUUGUGGUGGACAUAUAAAUAAUCAGAAGUGGUUGCAAGAAUGGCUACAGAGAACCAAAAUAUUCCAGAGGGAACUGUACAGAACAUGCUGGAGCAAGAAAGCCUCAAGUGGGUCUUCGUUGGAGGCAAAGGCGGUGUUGGCAAAACGACUUGUAGCUUGAUUCUCUCAAUUCCGCUCGCCAGUGUUCGACCCUCUGUGUUGAUCAUAUCAACCGAUCCGCCUCACAAUUUUAGCGAUGCAUUUAACCAGCAAUUCACCAAGUCCCCAACUUUUGUCAAUCGCUUCAUCAAUCUAUAUGCAAUCUACGCCCUGUGCCUCUUCUGUGAAUGCUAUGUAAAUUGCAGAAUUUUCAUUCAGCGACUGUGGAUUUGGAGUCAAUUCAUCAAGAAUGACAUCUUAGUUGAUGUUUAUGUCCAUUUGUCGAAUGGUUCGAAUAAGUUUACAUAUUAUUAGGCAAGGUAUUAUUGUCGAUGAAGUAUAGGCAGCAGAGCUGGAGUGAUUUUGGUUGGGCUUUGUAAUUUGAUUGUUCCAUGCCAUGACAAUAAAUAAUGCAGCAUUUAAACUUUUAGAGCUCACUAUUUUUUGUGUACAUUCUAUCGAGUUCUUAAACAGUUGUUUUUUGGUUUUUUUUUUGUGCAUUGUUUCUCUAUACAUGUCCCUAUAUAUAUGUAGCUCUAACCGUGGCACCUUCCCUCACAUAUAUAGGUAUUAAAAAAUUAAUUAAUAACAAAUUAUAUGGAUGAUGAACAUAUAAAUGGGCACAGUGUGAAAGGUGAGAGCUUGCUUACAUUUUCACUCUUAUUGACAUGGUCUCUUUACAUGAAAGUCUAUUGAUGUCUAUAAGUUUGUGAGUCAUUGCUACUUUUUAAUAUCGACAGAUAUUGGAUGACACAUUUGUUACAUUGUUUCUUUUAAUUCUUCAUAAAAUAUGAUGUGUUUAAUGUGCAGAUUUGGCAAAAGCAAGAAUAACAUGGGGACCAAUAUUGUUUGCCUCAGAUAAGUUUAAUUUGUUUACAUUUUAAAUUUGCCUAAAUGUCAUUCUUUUGCAUGGGCCAAAAGAAUAAAUCAAUAGUUGAUUGGUUACUUCUACAUUUUUUAGUCACUUCCAACAACUUUCUUGGUGCAGGUGAAUGGUGAUGGCCACCAUGAAAAAAAUAUUCGUUGUCAAUUAAUAGUGAUGGCCAUCAUAUUCGCUGCCUUUGAAUUUGCCUUGCUUAUUUAUGUUUAUUGCAGAUGUGUCUAGCUUCUUAUAUGGAACUAAUCUGAAUUGAUCUAUUUAAUAGUAUUGCCAUAGAAAUAAUGUUUAUGUAACUUUUGCUUAUUCAAUUUGAUUUGAUCACCCA